AGCAACCCCGACUCACGAAGGGGUGUAUUUAUUAGAUAGCAAGCAAGUUUAGGGUAGUGUCCUCACAGACGGGUAACGGGGAAUUAGGGUUCGACUCCGGAGAGGGGGCUACCACAUCCAAGGAAGGCAGCAGGCGCGCAAAUUACCCAAUCCCGACACGGGGAGGUAGUGACAAGAAAUACUGAUACAGGAUUCUUUUGGAUCUUGUAAUUGGAAUGAGUACAAUUUAAACCCAUUAAAGCGUAUAUUAAAGUUGUUGCAGUUAAAACGCUCGUAGUUGAACUUUGGGCCUGGCUGGCCGGUCUGCCUCACCGCGUGUACUGGUCUGGCUGGGUCUUUCCUCUUGGGGAGCUGCAUGCCCUUCACUGGGUGUGCCAGGGAACCAGGACUUUUACUUUGAAAAAAUUAGAGUGUUCAAAGCAGGCCUUUGCUUGUAUUAGCAUGGAAUAAUUGGUUUCUAGGACCGCCGUAAUGAUUAAUGAAAGCAUUUGCCAAAGAUGUUUUCAGAAAGGGAU
This 515-nucleotide ribosomal RNA is filed under the name Ceratomyces mirabilis. RNAcentral's name for it is "bacterial SSU rRNA". It matches the Rfam family "Eukaryotic small subunit ribosomal RNA", at positions 283 to 879 of the family's 1831-position model. The record is from RNAcentral. Lineage: Eukaryota; Fungi; Ascomycota; Laboulbeniomycetes; Laboulbeniales; Ceratomycetaceae.